This 75-nucleotide antisense RNA is filed under the name Streptomyces sp. TSRI0107. RNAcentral's name for it is "ASpks sRNA". It matches the Rfam family "ASpks TB sRNA". The record is from RNAcentral. Lineage: Bacteria; Bacillati; Actinomycetota; Actinomycetes; Kitasatosporales; Streptomycetaceae.
CUUGAGCGAGCCGAGCCACAGGGGCCGGUCCUCGCCGUGCUCGCCGCCGUACGUGGCCAGCAGCGCCUGCGCUUC